This 76-nucleotide transfer RNA is filed under the name Sphaerodactylus townsendi. RNAcentral describes it as "tRNA-Val". It matches the Rfam family "tRNA". Rfam says of the family: Transfer RNA (tRNA) molecules are approximately 80 nucleotides in length. Their secondary structure includes four short double-helical elements and three loops (D, anti-codon, and T loops). Further hydrogen bonds mediate the characteristic L-shaped molecular structure. tRNAs have two regions of fundamental functional importance: the anti-codon, which is responsible for specific mRNA codon recognition, and the 3' end, to which the tRNAs corresponding amino acid is attached (by aminoacyl-tRNA synthetases). tRNAs cope with the degeneracy of the genetic code in two manners: having more than one tRNA (with a specific anti-codon) for a particular amino acid; and 'wobble' base-pairing, i.e. permitting non-standard base-pairing at the 3rd anti-codon position. The record is from RNAcentral. Lineage: Eukaryota; Metazoa; Chordata; Lepidosauria; Squamata; Sphaerodactylidae.
GGAGAGGGCCAUGGCUCAGUCACAGAGCAUUUGUUUGACAGACAGAAGGUCCCAGGUUCAAUCCCUGGCAUCUCCA